AUCCACACUAAUUUUGCGAGGUUC
RNAcentral lists this non-coding RNA (24 nucleotides) under Arabidopsis thaliana (thale cress). Lineage: Eukaryota; Viridiplantae; Streptophyta; Magnoliopsida; Brassicales; Brassicaceae. The record is from RNAcentral.